CAGCAGCCGCGGGAAUACAGAGGGUGCAAGCGUUAAUCGGAAUUACUGGGCGUAAAGCGCGCGUAGGUGGUUUGUUAAGUUGGAUGUGAAAGCCCCGGGCUCAACCUGGGAACUGCAUCCAAAACUGGCAAGCUAGAGUACGGUAGAGGGUGGUGGAAUUUCCUGUGUAGCGGUGAAAUGCGUAGAUAUAGGAAGGAACACCAGUGGCGAAGGCGACCACCUGGACUGAUACUGACACUGAGGUGCGAAAGCGUGGGGAGCAAACAGGAUUAGAUACCCGGGUAGUCCCUGUCUCUUAUAA
This 301-nucleotide ribosomal RNA is filed under the name uncultured bacterium. RNAcentral describes it as "partial 16S ribosomal RNA". It matches the Rfam family "Bacterial small subunit ribosomal RNA", at positions 509 to 809 of the family's 1533-position model. The record is from RNAcentral.